GACGAACGCUGGCGGCGUGCUUAACACAUGCAAGUCGAACGGAAAGGCCCUGCUUUUGUGGGGUGCUCGAGUGGCGAACGGGUGAGUAACACGUGAGUAACCUGCCCUUGACUUUGGGAUAACUUCAGGAAACUGGGGCUAAUACCGGAUAGGAGCUCCUGCUGCAUGGUGGGGGUUGGAAAGUUUCGGCGGUUGGGGAUGGACUCGCGGCUUAUCAGCUUGUUGGUGGGGUAGUGGCUUACCAAGGCUUUGACGGGUAGCCGGCCUGAGAGGGUGACCGGCCACAUUGGGACUGAGAUACGGCCCAGACUCCUACGGGAGGCAGCAGUGGGGAAUAUUGCACAAGGGGCGGAAGCCUGAUGCAGCAACGCCGCGUGCGGGAUGACGGCCUUCGGGUUGUAAACCGCUUUCGCUUGUGACGAAGCGUGAGUGACGGUAAUGGGUAAAGAAGCACCGGCUAACUACG
RNAcentral lists this ribosomal RNA (466 nucleotides) under uncultured bacterium. Its description in RNAcentral is "partial 16S ribosomal RNA". It matches the Rfam family "Bacterial small subunit ribosomal RNA", at positions 28 to 505 of the family's 1533-position model. The record is from RNAcentral.